UUUUUGGAUUUUCAUUGGACAGCCUUUGUUUUUGGACUCAGUCAAUCAGCCACUCUGUUCUUCCUGUGCUAUAAUGUGAGAACCAAUGAUCUUCGACACACUCCACGGGAAAGGGACCUUUACCUGGAAGGAAGUUCAUCAGACUAAGAGAAGCACAGACACAAUCCUGUCCCACAGCACCACCCUCUACUGCAUCUACCAUCACUGUCUGAUUAACACUGCGAUUGUGUAUUAUCCAUUUAACAGAGGGAAGCCCCCUUUUUUUUUUUUUUUUUUUUUUUUCUUUCAACACUCUGUAACCGAUGGCACAAGUACUUUAUUCUAUUAAUUGACCCUUUACUAAGCCACGCCCUGAAUACACAGCUGGCCAAUCACAGCACACUAUAGGACUCUAUCUGAGGUCCGACACUUUCGUGGAUGGUCUCUAUUGACUCUAAUGAGUUUUCUUGGCUGUAUUUUUCUAAGACAUGGUCAAAUGCUGUUCCUGGGGCACAUGUAAUAAUUACAGUCGCUACCCAGAGGUUGAAAGGAGAAGUACGAUUUAUUCUUUCCAAAACCUAAAAUAAAUCCAGAAAAAUGUUGGCUGUGGAUUGUUCCUAAUGUUAGUUAGCUAACGCUAGCUAACGUCCUACUGAAAGCCCUACUGUUCUGCUUUUUAAUGAUCGUUAUAAUGAACAGAGGCAGGAACAGUGCUGAUCCUUAAUGCUGUUUUCUUUUGUCUCAAUUGUCGAGGGAUGCGAUGGUUCACUUGUACUGUGUGAUCGGUAGAUUUCUCUUUAAUUUUUUUUCACGUCAGUUUGAAUCAGUUAGAUAACCUGAAUACAACCUUCAAAUGUAUAACGCAACUGCAAAACUAUGCUUUUUUUCUGAGAUCGCUUUUUCCAACUAAUCUGACAAUAUUUCUGCAGGGAGUGCAGUAAUAGACAGCAGCAGUGCCGACAGUUUGUCGGACUAACAGUAACUAAGGGGGGCGGGGCUUAACGAAGGGUCAACUGCACAAAUUAUUCUUUUCAGGGUUUUAUUAGCAUGGACUUUAGUAUCGCCUUUUUAUCCAUUCAGUUACCUACAUUCUUAAAUACUAUGCAGUGAGGAUCUCUGUUGGAUAGUAUUAGUAAAGGACCAUUUCACCUAAACAAAAGUCCAAUUUUACAUGGCACAGCCAGUUCAGAGUGGCAAUGACAGAGAUUCCAUUUACCAUAGUCAGUGUACCAUCAAAAUGAUUUUGAGGCUGUUAUUUUAAGAUACAAAUAAAUAAUGUUGCUAUACCUGCUUUCUACUGAAGAAACGGUCCCUAUGAUAUGUGACGGUAAUCUUCAGUAACCCAGUUAUUGUUUGAAACACAUUGCUGUUGAGUCAAAAUUAAACUCCAUUUACUGCUUUUGUAUUUGGGUGGCAGCAGAAACCUGCUGUCUCUCAAAACCUCCUCACAUAAAACUGAAACUCUGUGCAUGGCUCAAUACGACCACUAAGCAGGAGGGAGAGAAAAAUAGCGUUCAUUCAUAUUCCUCACAAAUUCCAUGGUAUAAUUUUACUACCACAUUUGUGCACACAAAGUUCAGCCAGCACUUUUAUAUUCAUAAUGCCAUGUAUUUGCUCUGUUUUUAUUUAUAGAUACUCAUUCAUGCAAAACUAAUCCUUUAAUAAUUAUUCAUUAUAUAUUGUAUGUAUGGAUGACAAUUAAGAUCAUGUGAAAAUUAAAGAUUAAAGUGGGAGCAGUGAGAUUAUGAUAUCAGAAUGCUUGACUUGAAUUAUUUACUUUUCUUUUGACUUUAUUCAGAGAAAUUGUACUUUGUUCCUCAAACGUCUGAAUUAUUACUUUUAAAUUCAUCCUGCUUGUCCUCAGAAAUUUACUCAAUUUAAUAAUCUGAUAACAAACAAAUACUCUUUAUUUCAUUUGGCCCUAAUUAUCCACCUUAUUUUGUUCCUUUCUGUGAUGUUAUUUUAUUGCAUUUGUUAAAUCUGUUACAGCUGAAAGCAAAUCUCACAUUAUUCUUUAGUGUCACACUGAGCACACAAACUUUCAAAAAGACCAUCUACAAUCUGUUUUUGUGUUAUAUAUACUGACCAUCUGUUUUUAUGUAAAAUAUGUACUGACAUGUGAAUCCAGGUGAAAAUCAUAAUCCCAACUUCCAUGUGUCUUCCUCUGAUUACAAAAAUAAGCUUUAAGACACUCAAUACAUGGACAUAUUUUGUUGUUUGCACUUUACAAAGCCUUUUAUUGUUGUAUUAUUUUCCUGAACAUAAUGUAAGGGUUUCAUUUCAAUUUCUUUUUUUGUAGAAGCCUAAUGUUCACUGUUGGAUAGAAAAGUUGAUAAAUAUGUAUUUUUUUAAUGAACAGGUGCAAAUAUUCAGUGUUUCACAAGACAAAAAGCUGAAACAUUUGAGAAAAGCCUGAAAAAAAUGUAUUUCUUUAUUCUUAUAUAAAUACCUGUUAUCAUCUAUUGAAAUCUUUAGGACGCUUUGGGGUACCACUGAUUUAAAGCCACAAACAGUAUUUUUUGUGGCCAGAAAGAUUUGUUCUACAUUCUUUUAACAUCUUGUAGACUAUGUAUAUGCCGAAUUUGAGUUACAGAUGAAAAAUGUGAAUUUUGUGUUUUUUUUCCUUAAGAAACAUUACUAACUCAGAUUUAAGCAUAGCAGCACAAUGCAAUUCUGUGUUUAAAUUUUGUGUGGAACGGCUUCCAACAUUUGGUUCACAUAUUGUGUUAAUUUGUGUAGGUGGAUCUCUCAUUUUGGAAUGAAACUCUUGUUCUCACGGAUGUAUCUAUAGAAAUGCAAAUAAGAUUUCAUCCUGACUUUCACACCA
Micropterus salmoides (largemouth bass) is the source of this 2806-nucleotide long non-coding RNA. RefSeq lists it as uncharacterized. The record is from RefSeq and is a predicted model, not a curated record. The transcript has 2 exons. Lineage: Eukaryota; Metazoa; Chordata; Actinopteri; Centrarchiformes; Centrarchidae.